Molecule: ribosomal RNA, 503 nt
Filed under: uncultured bacterium
Lineage: Bacteria
Description: partial 16S ribosomal RNA
Rfam family: Bacterial small subunit ribosomal RNA
Source: RNAcentral
GAUGAACGCUAGCUACAGGCUUAACACAUGCAAGUCGAGGGGCAGCAUUCUUCUAGCAAUAGAAGAGAUGGCGACCGGCGCACGGGUGAGUAACACGUGUCCAACCUACCGAUAACUCCGGAAUAGCCUUUCGAAAGAAAGAUUAAUACCGGAUAGUAUACGAAUAUCGCAUGAUAUUUUUAUUAAAGAAUUUCGGUUAUCGAUGGGGAUGCGUUCCAUUAGUUUGUUGGCGGGGUAACGGCCCACCAAGAAUACGAUGGAUAGGGGUUCUGAGAGGAAGGUCCCCCACAUUGGAACUGAGACACGGUCCAAACUCCUACGGGAGGCAGCAGUGAGGAAUACUGGUCAAUGGGCGCGAGCCUGAACCAGCCAAGUAGAGUGAAGGAUGAAGGCUCUAUGGGUCGUAAACUUCUUUUAUAUGGGAAUAAAGUUUUCCACGUGUGGAAUUUUGUAUGUACCAUAUGAAUAAGGAUCGGCUAACUCCGUGCCAGCAGCCGCCGUAA